GACGAACGCUGGCGGCGUGCUUAACACAUGCAAGUCGAGCGGAAAGGCCCUUUCGGGGGUACUCGAGCGGCGAACGGGUGAGUAACACGUGAGUAAUCUGCCCCUGGCUUUGGGAUAGCCACCGGAAACGGUGAUUAAUACCGGAUACGACCACUUCUCGCAUGGGAUGGUGGUGGAAAGUUUUUCGGCCAGGGAGGUGCUCGCGGCCUAUCAGCUUGAUGGUGAGGUAAUGGCUCACCAUGGCGUCGACGGGUAGCCGGCCUGAGGGGGGAACCGGUAACACUGGGACUGAGACACGGCCCAGACUCCUACGGGAGGCAGCAGUGGGGAAUAUUGGACAAGGGGCGGAAGCCUGAUCCAGCAACGCCGCGUGAGGGAUGACGGCCUUCGGGUUGUAAACCUCUUUCAGCAGGGACGAAGCGCAAGUGACGGUACCUGCAGAAGAAGCACCGGCCAACUACGUGCCAGCCGCCGCCGUAA
RNAcentral lists this ribosomal RNA (480 nucleotides) under uncultured bacterium. RNAcentral's name for it is "partial 16S ribosomal RNA". It matches the Rfam family "Bacterial small subunit ribosomal RNA", at positions 28 to 523 of the family's 1533-position model. The record is from RNAcentral.